This is a long non-coding RNA of Trachemys scripta elegans, 2393 nucleotides long. RefSeq lists it as uncharacterized. NCBI's taxonomy places the organism in Eukaryota, Metazoa, Chordata, Testudines, Emydidae. The transcript has 3 exons. The record is from RefSeq and is a predicted model, not a curated record.
CUCCCUGCUGCCCUCGCUCCUGCCCACCUCCCCCGCCUGCAGGGCUGGGGGCGCGGCGGCGGCUCUCGCUCCUGCUUUCCCAGGGAUGCUGUGCGGUCGGCCAGCCCCUGUUCUCCCGCUGAGCAUCCAUCGCAGCCCUGCCCCUUUCGCUGCCUGCGAGCCAGACGCGCCCCGAGCCGGAGCAGGCGGCGGAGCCUGGCGCCGCGGGUCGUGCCCAGGGCCAGCCGGCGGCGUGGAUGAGGUUGAUGCUCCUCUGCUGCACCUGGAGGGACGAGCCUAUGGGAGAGGACGAAGGAAGCGACCUGCCUGUAUGUGCGAGCUGUGGCCACAGUAUCUACGAUGGGCAAUACCUCCAGGCCCUGAACGCUGACUGGCAUGCCGACUGCUUCAGGCUGCUGGCUGCGGUCUGGGGGGAAGUGAGAGCAAGUGUCUCUCCGUGAGUCACUGAGGCCAGAGCUGUGGGGAGCAGGCUGAGGAGGAGGGGAUGAUGUCAUGGGUUCCUGGUCCCUCCUCCCCCUCUCACUUAAUGCUUCCAGCUCUUUGAAGUGUCUGUAGGAAUUAGAAGCCACAGAAGUGUGUGCAGGGCCUCCCUGGCCAGCUGGGGGAGGCGCCCCCACGGCUGAGUGCAGGGCCCCACCAUCCCAGCAGGGGCAGUGAGUGCCGCUCACUGAGGCGCAGGCCGCACGGCCCCGGACUCAUUCUGGUUCGGAGGAUGCUGACUGCUGUGCUCAAGAAGAGCCGCUUCCUGAGUGCUGGAGCCAAGUAAGUGUGUGGGGCUGCUCUGGCUCACCCCUGAGCCUCUGCCGUGGCUAGGGGCACCGCAUCACCAUGGGCUUGGGGACACGGUGUGGGACAGUUUGCGAUGGAGUCCGGACAGCACCCUGGGGUCCCAGCCCAAGACAUGGAUAGAGGGAAGGAGGCAAUCCCAAGGAAAAGGAGUGUGCCUGGAGACAUACUGCCAAGGAAAUAGAAACCGUGGCAGGAAAUGUCCCCUUCCGCCCCCCUUCCCUCCCCCCAGCCCUCUAGCCUAUGCAGCUACCCCCCGACAUAUCUCUCCUCACACAGCCUGCUCACUGCUUCUCCUGCACUCCCCCAGUUAGCAGGCAGCUGAGGCCAGACCAGCUGUGGGAGGUGGAGGAGCUGAGCAGGGUGGGGGUGAUGGUGAGAUUCUGAUAACCUUCUGGGGGCUGCGGCUGGAGCUGGAAUUUUCCUCCCCCAGGCUGGAGGGAAUUGACUUUCGGUGACUAGAGGAACCUUCUGUGCGUUGCAGCAUUUGGUACCUUGUUAUGCACUUGGUAAAAAGUCUGGCUGCUUUUUGUGUGAAAUAUCCCCCCCAACCUCUACCCAGCACCGAGGAACUGAAAACUCCUCUGCUCCAAAGUUGGCAGCUUUACCAGCCAUCUGGGUGUGUGUGUCGUUAUCCCCUUUAUCAGAUGGGGAACCUGAGACACCCUGAGAGGAAGUGAUUUAUGUGGGUGGGGGAGGGAGGCUGGGCUCUGUUGGAUUGAGCAAGGGUUGGGAAGUCAGGUGAGUGAGUUGGAUUCUUACUCUGGAUCUGAUUUAGGCCAAGCGGACACUGCACCCUGCCAGUGGGACUGCCAGGGUCGAUCAAAGGCAGGUGGGUUUGCCUGCUCUGAGCAAGGCUAGGGGACAUGCCCUGGGCGCUCCCCAUCGCUGCUCCCUCCGGCAGAGCUGCACAGGGGCUAGAGCAAAGGUCUUUGCACCUCGCUCUCCUGCAAGGCUGAGAGCCCAUGCAGCAUGGCGACCCAACCGCUGCACCCCUCCCAGGAUCACGGAUCAACCCCAAAGGUCCAUCUCUUCCUAUGGAACUUCCUGCAGCCUAGCAAGUGGGGUUCUCCUAUUUAGAUCUGUACAACGUGCGUGUGCACUGGCGCUAUAUGUCUGAGCGCACACGUGUGCAGCUAUCUGUGCAUGCACGAGUGUGUGAGCGCACAAGCCCCAGUCAGGAGCCUGUCAGGGUCCGUGGUCCUAGCCAGGGUGCAGGGGGAACACAGGGCACCCAGAACGCUGCUGCACCAGGUCCACCUGUGCAGGGCGCCCGGCUGCACACCCUCCUGGCAGGCCCAGGGCCAGGAAGAGUGGCGAGAGCGUGGCCCACCCGCAGGGUGCUACAGGGUUGGGUGAGAGCAGGGGCACUCCCACACCAGCACUGCGAAGGUUAACGCAGCUGGGUUGCGCCCGGACGCGCGUCCUCAUUGGUCAGCGCCCUCCCGGGAGAGUUUGACUCAAGCAAUCGGAGGGCGGAUUCCCUGCCAGGGUGACGUAAUGGGGCUGCCAGGGAAUGACAUCAUCGCAAUUGACAUGCGACCCACGUGCUGCCGAGAGGGGGAGGAGGCAGGAGGGGGCUGCAGAAGCACAACCCCACCCCCACC